Long non-coding RNA from Mustela lutreola (European mink), 219 nucleotides. RefSeq lists it as uncharacterized. The record is from RefSeq and is a predicted model, not a curated record. NCBI's taxonomy places the organism in Eukaryota, Metazoa, Chordata, Mammalia, Carnivora, Mustelidae. The transcript is spliced from 3 exons.
CCCCACUGUCCUGACAGCUGUGCUUUCAGCGCAAGCCAAGGGCCCUGGUGAGGACCUGGGGCCAGACGGCAGGUAGAGCGGGCCUGGGUUGGGGCGAGGAUUAAUUCCUGCAAAGGCACACAGGAAGCAAGGCGCUCCAUAAUGGAGCCACCGAGCCCAAAAUAGAUCCAUUCCACAAGAUGAGGAAGCAAGACCAGGAGAAGCCGACGAACACAGGCG